GAUGAACGCUGGCGGCGUGCCUAAUACAUGCAAGUCGAGCGAACGGACGAGAAGCUUGCUUCUCUGAUGUUAGCGGCGGACGGGUGAGUAACACGUGGAUAACCUACCUAUAAGACUGGGAUAACUUCGGGAAACCGGAGCUAAUACCGGAUAAUAUUUUGAACCGCAUGGUUCAAAAGUGAAAGACGGUCUUGCUGUCACUUAUAGAUGGAUCCGCGCUGCAUUAGCUAGUUGGUAAGGUAACGGCUUACCAAGGCAACGAUGCAUAGCCGACCUGAGAGGGUGAUCGGCCACACUGGAACUGAGACACGGUCCAGACUCCUACGGGAGGCAGCAGUAGGGAAUCUUCCGCAAUGGGCAAAAGCCUGACGGAGCAACGCCGCGUGAGUGAUGAAGGUCUUCGGAUCGUAAAACUCUGUUAUUAGGGAAGAACAUAUGUGUAAGUAACUGUGCACAUCUUGACGGUACCUAAUCAGAAAGCCACGGCUAACUACGUGCCAGCAGCCGCGGUAAUACGUAGGUGGCAAGCGUUAUCCGGAAUUAUUGGGCGUAAAGCGCGCGUAGGCGGUUUUUUAAGUCUGAUGUGAAAGCCCACGGCUCAACCGUGGAGGGUCAUUGGAAACUGGAAAACUUGAGUGCAGAAGAGGAAAGUGGAAUUCCAUGUGUAGCGGUGAAAUGCGCAGAGAUAUGGAGGAACACCAGUGGCGAAGGCGACUUUCUGGUCUGUAACUGACGCUGAUGUGCGAAAGCGUGGGGAUCAAACAGGAUUAGAUACCCUGGUAGUCCACGCCGUAAACGAUGAGUGCUAAGUGUUAGGGGGUUUCCGCCCCUUAGUGCUGCAGCUAACGCAUUAAGCACUCCGCCUGGGGAGUACGACCGCAAGGUUGAAACUCAAAGGAAUUGACGGGGACCCGCACAAGCGGUGGAGCAUGUGGUUUAAUUCGAAGCAACGCGAAGAACCUUACCAAAUCUUGACAUCCUUUGACAACUCUAGAGAUAGAGCCUUCCCCUUCGGGGGACAAAGUGACAGGUGGUGCAUGGUUGUCGUCAGCUCGUGUCGUGAGAUGUUGGGUUAAGUCCCGCAACGAGCGCAACCCUUAAGCUUAGUUGCCAUCAUUAAGUUGGGCACUCUAAGUUGACUGCCGGUGACAAACCGGAGGAAGGUGGGGAUGACGUCAAAUCAUCAUGCCCCUUAUGAUUUGGGCUACACACGUGCUACAAUGGACAAUACAAAGGGCAGCGAAACCGCGAGGUCAAGCAAAUCCCGUAAAGUUGUUCUCAGUUCGGAUUGUAGUCUGCAACUCGACUACAUGAAGCUGGAAUCGCUAGUAAUCGUAGAUCAGCAUGCUACGGUGAAUACGUUCCCGGGUCU
RNAcentral lists this ribosomal RNA (1372 nucleotides) under uncultured bacterium. RNAcentral's name for it is "bacterial SSU rRNA". It matches the Rfam family "Bacterial small subunit ribosomal RNA", at positions 28 to 1381 of the family's 1533-position model. The record is from RNAcentral.